This is a long non-coding RNA of Bubalus bubalis (water buffalo), 4731 nucleotides long. RefSeq lists it as uncharacterized. The transcript is spliced from 3 exons. Lineage: Eukaryota; Metazoa; Chordata; Mammalia; Artiodactyla; Bovidae. The record is from RefSeq and is a predicted model, not a curated record.
CCUAGGUCACUUUGGAGAAAGACUGAGGGAAAGCUCAUUGUUUAUACUUGUGAUGGACGGCCAGGGCUCCUCUUCAAGGAGAUGCAACCUCACCUUCAGUCAGUGGGCUCUGGGCCUAUGAAUGAACUUACCUGGGAGCCAGGCAGAGGGCCUUAUUUUUUUUCCAUUAUAGCAUCUAAUUUCAGCUUUCUUUCCUCUAGCUCUUAAGCUUUUAUUAUUUUUUUCUUAUAUAUAGAGCUAAAGAAACACUCUACUGCUGUCCAUCCAUGCUACCCCUUGGAAUAUCAUGGUCUGUAUCAGACAUCAUCACAGGCUAGGAGCAAAGCCCUGCCAGGUGGCACCUGUGUAAGGCUAAUCAAGACUUGAGGCUUUGCGGCAGCAGUGGCUUGAAUAAGAGGUGGGGGUUGAGAGGAUUUGAAAUAGGACACACAUGUAUCUGAUGAGCCCAGGCCUGGGCUCAGACAGAGUCUGCUGGCCCCAGGUGAUUUCUACCUUCUGGCGUUGUGGAAGCCACUCCCCUUGCGCAAGUUCAGUUCAGCCGCUCAGUCGUGUCUCUUUGCGACCCUAUGGACUGCAGCAAGCCAGGCCUCCCUGUCCAUCACCAAUUCCUGGAGCUUACUCAAACUCAUGUCCAUCAGGUCACCUCACCGUCAAGAGAUGGCUGUUGGAGCUCUAUCCAUCACUUCUGCCUUGCAGACAACAGGAAGAAGGAAAGCAGGCUCUGAGAACCAAAGAUAUACUUUUGCUGCUGCUGCUGCUGCUGCUAAGUCGCUUCAGUCGUGUCCGACCUGUGCAACCCCAUGGACUGCAGCCUACCAGGCUUCUCCGUCCAUGGGAUUCUCCAGGCAAGAACACUGGAGUGGGUUUUGCUACAUGUUUUUAAAUGAAUCCUUUUUUAGUCCAUCUGCAAAAUGAUUGGCCAUGAAUGGAAACAGUGGUACUGGUGCUUCCAGGGGAACAUUGGACUGGAUUACAUAGGAAGAGUCUUGGUGCUGGAGGAGCUGGAUGGAUUAUUAAUCCGAGCAAAUAGUGACUUUCAUAACAUGGUUGAAAGAACACCCUGUUACAACCUUGAUGAGAUCCUUUUAGACUUUUGAUGUUUACUCUCUUUGUCUUAUUUAUUCAGUCAGAUUUGUCACUGAUGAUAUAGAUGGCUGUACACCUAUUAAAGUUACUGUCAUAAACCAUAAAGCAAAAGGAUGAAUGGAACUUCAGAAUGAGUUGGGUUUUGUAUCUGCAAGAAAGAUGGUUUCUUGUUGUUUAUACUCCAGCCCAGGGAAUAGAUUGCAGGGCAAAUAAUAAUGUUAAUGAUGAUGAUAAUAGUGGCUGACACUUAGCCAGCACUUCCUAUGUUCUAGACAUUGCUCUAAAACUUUUAAAAGGUUUUAAGUUAUGUAAUCCCAGAAAGUGCCGUAGUUAUCCCCAUGUGAAGUGGAAACAGAGGAAGACUAAUUGCCCAAGAUCACAUACCUGAGAACCUGAACUCAGAUAAUUCUGACCCUAAAGCCUGUGCUCAUAAACAUACUGCCUCUCUGCUCAGCAGUGUUCAGCAGUCUGUGGAGGACCUUGAUGUAGAUUAUACACGUUCCUCACUUUCUGUUCCCCGUACCAGAGGACCCAUUCUGCUAUCUCCAUGCUUUCCUGCCACAUAGAAUCAUCUUUUCCUAAUCCAAUAUUUGCUGGGACUGUAGUUAGAGAUUUAGAAACAAACUGAACUUUAGGCCCACUAAAGUUCUGCUGGUACUGCUUCCAGAGGAAUAUUGGAAUUACACAGGAAGACUAAUAACUCCAAACUUUAGGGAUGACCAGUAAAGCAACAAUCUGUAAAAGAAUGCCCAUCUCGGAGCAGGGAAACCUGGCCUUGAUUCAGUUCAGCUGGGACACACACUUGGUCCCAAGGGAACAGAUUCUGAUCCAGUGGGUCAGGUAUGGGGCCUUGUAACUAUGUACUUAAAGUAUUUCUCCAAGGAAUUCUGACACUCUUCCCAGGUUUGAUAAUCCCUAAACUAGAGCAUGUGGAAAGUAAACUAUUCUAGGGAAAAAAGACAGUGAAUUGUCACUGAUUAUGUUCAUUAGAUAAGGUGAUGGGGCCCUUUAACAGUCUGAUCCUGGAGGGCAAAAGGAAAGAAUCAGGAUUUAGGGCAGAUUUACUCUUAAAACCCCUUUGCUUAAGCAAAGUAUGCCGAGUAGCUCCCCAGCAUCACAUGAUUGGAGCUUUCUCGACACCUUCCUGUGUGCUGGUCAUGCUGCUGUUGCAUGAUGAACCCAGGGGGGAGGCAGCUAGCUAGACCUGAGGAGUUAGAAAGAUUUCUUAGACAAGUUGGCCUUUAGACAGAAGGCAUUUACAUGCAAGGUCCUUCUUUGGACCCAAAUCUUAAAGCAUUUUAGAAUCUGAACAUAAAGAGGUUUACUUUGGAAGACAUAACAGUCGUUCGGUGAGUGGCUCAUUAGCUUCAACCUGACCAUUCCAUUCCGAGGACAAUGAUAAAAACUGACUACCUCACCUCGCUUCACCCACCCUGACUUGCCUCUUUAUUUCUCUUCCUGUUGGUCUAGUCCUCUCAGGUGAAAAUCACUAACUAGGAACUAAAACAGAAAUUUUAUCAUAAUCCUUGGUGUAUUUUAGUCAUCUUUACUACAUGUAGAGUCUGCCCAUUGUGGAUUGUGUUUACAUUUUUAGGUUGUUAAUUUAAUUAUCAAGUAUUUGAAACAUAUAGACAAUUAAGGAAAUUAAAUGAUACCCAUAUUUCUAUCUUCCAUCUUUAACAAAUGUUAAUAUUUUACUCUGUUAGCUCCAGAUUGUUUUCACUUGUGAAGACCUAAAAUGUUACAGAGACUGUCAGUGCCUACCCCCAUCUUGGGUCUGGCUGCAUGGGACCUUGGGGACCCUAUACUUCCUUUGACAGCUGAGUCCUGAAGAUUCCAGGAAGCACACAGGGUUCUGGAACAUGGCAGAGUUGGUCACCCAAAAGUGGUUUGUUUUUUUUUUCUCCUGAUCGGCCUCUGUGCUAUAUCAGGAGUGUUUGCAUGAGUGUUGGGAGGAUGGCAACAUUCCCACUCUGAGUUUUAGAUUCUAUUUAUCCAUCUUUAUUCCACUGCAACAGGUUCAUUCAAGCCCUCAUUAACUCUAGAUCAUAGCAGUAGCCACUCUAUGGGACUCCUCUCCUCACAACUUACUCAGCUGUUACCACACACAGUGCACAUUUGGAUGGCUGGAUGUCAUCACAUUUCUUCUGAAGUGUACCCAUUUCCAUGGGAGUUUUGGCAAGAAAACACAAGAGAGGAAGACAUUGUCUCUGAUAUAAUAAUAAUCGUAAUAAUGGUGCAAAUAUUUACCGAAGUUUCACUCUGUGCCAAGAAUUGUUCUAUAAACUUUACAUGAAUUAAUUUAUUAAAUUUUCAUAGCCUCUCUAUGACAUACUAUUAUAAUUAUCCAAGUUUUAAGGAUGAAGAAACUUAGACACUAUUCUAAGUGACUUGCUCAGAUUUUCCCAACUAGUAUGUGGCAGAGCUAAGGUUUGGACAUGGGCCACCUGGCUUUAAAGCCCACAUUAUUUAUCACUAUGCCACCCUGCCUUUCACCGUAGCUCCUGAUGACAAUGAAUGAAACAGCAAGCCCAUUUGGGGCCUUCAUAUUUUUGCUAAUCCUUUAUGCAUAGUGUACUAUGUCAGAUCUGUCAAAAGUUGGUAGUAUUCAGCAUCUUUUGAAUGAGUUCUGUUGGGAAAUUAUUUUAAAAUUGAAGUAUCUGUAAUGCUAACACAUUUCUGCAUAGGAACACUUUUAUAAGGAGUACUUAAAUUUCCAGACAAAUCUGUAAUCUAGUUAAGCCAUGAAAUAUCUAAAUAAGCUCAUUUGCAAUAAAACAAGAGAAAAAUAGCAAUGUGGUUAAAAUAUUAGUAAAAAAAAACAAAGCCAAAGUUGUUAUAUUUUAUUCUUAGAUGAUUGAACUUAAGGGAAAGAAGGAUGAAGAAAAAUAAACUUUGGGAAGAUUUUAGAGUACUUAUAAGGCUUUUGGAGAUAAAUGUUUAUUAUAUGCAAUUUCAUUUUAAAUCUAAAGGAUUUCUUUUUAUCUGACACAAUUGUGGUAAUAGUGGUGUUUUUAUACUUCUAAAACUCCAAAACAAGAAGAACUUCUUGUUGUUUGCAUACAUAACCAAGAAAAGAUGAGAGAUUUGCUAAAGUAAUUAUGUAAGAGUUAGAAAAGAAAAGGGAAAAGAGUUAUAGAGAAUAUACGUGCUUGUUUUGUAAAUAAAGAUCCUUUGAACUGCAAUUAGCUUCAAGAAUAGACAUAGAGUGGGAAGUGCAUGUACAUGCCUUCCAAGUGUGAAACGAUUGUAAGGAAAAGAUUUUGAGUAACAUAUUUCCUUCCCGCAGUCAGAGUAGCAUCAUUGACUCAAACCGUCAUAGUGGAUGGAAGGAGAAGGAAAGUGUGCAACCAGCUAGAAGCCCAUGUUACCAAAGGGCAUUUGUAAUUUAACACAUGCUUUGUAAUUUUCUGAUGUAAAGUAUUUUCUUUUAGGUUAAAAAUGGAUUAGGCAUGCUUUUGAGAAAAUGAUGUUAGAAAUCUUGUGUUCUUGGAAAACAAAAGUGAAUGUACUGUGUGUGUGUAUAUAUAUACAUAUACAUAUAUAUACACAUACAUAUAUAUAUUUUUUUUUCAUGGCACCAUUAAUAUAGGGUCUCUUGGCACCUACAAAUGUAGAGUUUCAUGCCACCAUUUGCAGAAUCUC